This 498-nucleotide ribosomal RNA is filed under the name uncultured bacterium. RNAcentral's name for it is "partial 16S ribosomal RNA". It matches the Rfam family "Bacterial small subunit ribosomal RNA", at positions 30 to 523 of the family's 1533-position model. The record is from RNAcentral.
AUUGAACGCUGGCGGCAUGCCUUACACAUGCAAGUCGAACGGUAACAGGUCUUCGGAUGCUGACGAGUGGCGAACGGGUGAGUAAUACAUCGGAACGUGCCUAGUAGUGGGGGAUAACUACUCGAAAGAGUGGAUACUACCGCAUGAGAUCUACGGAUGAAAGCAGGGGAUCGCAAGACCUUGUGCUACUAGAGCGGCCGAUGGCAGAUUAGGUAGUUGGUGGGAUAAAAGCUUACCAAGCCGACGAUCUGUAGCUGGCCUGAGAGGACGAUCAGCCACACUGGGACUGAGACACGGCCCAGACUCCUACGGGAGGCAGCAGUGGGGAAUUUUGGACAAUGGGCGCAAGCCUGAUCCAGCAAUGCCGCGUGCAGGAUGAAGGCCUUCGGGUUGUAAACUGCUUUUGUACGGAACGAAAAGCCCCGGGUUAAUACCCUGGGGUCAUGACGGUACCGUAAGAAUAAGCACCGGCUAACUACGUGCCAGCCGCCGCCGUAA